CUGCCCGAUGGAGGGGGAUAACUACUGGAAACGGUAGCUAAUACCGCAUAACGUCGCAAGACCAAAGAGGGGGACCUUCGGGCCUCUUGCCAUCGGAUGUGCCCAGAUGGGAUUAUCUAGUAGGUGGGGUAACGGCUCACCUAGGCGACGAUCCCUAUCUGGUCUGAGAGGAUGACCACCCACACUGGAACUGACACACGGUCCACACUCCUACGGGAGGCACUGUGGGGAAUAUUGCACAGUGGGCGCAAG
This 252-nucleotide ribosomal RNA is filed under the name Citrobacter freundii. RNAcentral's name for it is "partial 16S ribosomal RNA". It matches the Rfam family "Bacterial small subunit ribosomal RNA", at positions 126 to 381 of the family's 1533-position model. Lineage: Bacteria; Pseudomonadati; Pseudomonadota; Gammaproteobacteria; Enterobacterales; Enterobacteriaceae. The record is from RNAcentral.